This 795-nucleotide long non-coding RNA is filed under the name Triticum aestivum (bread wheat). RNAcentral's name for it is "long non-coding RNA (TAES_LNC005710)". The record is from RNAcentral. Lineage: Eukaryota; Viridiplantae; Streptophyta; Magnoliopsida; Poales; Poaceae.
UCCGCAUAUGGCUUUGAGAUCGUGCAGACCCUCAUUGUCGACAUCGAGCCGGAUGCGCAUGUCAAGCAGGCGAUGAAUGAGAUCAAUGCAGGUUAUUUGCUAAAGCCCUGACGUGAUGGAAGUUGGACACUUGUACCUAAAUCUUGCCUCCAUCAUAUUACUGACAUGAUACUUGUGCCUUUUGCAGCUGCAAGGAUGAGGGUGGCUGCAAACGAGAAGGCGGAGGCUGAGAAGAUUGUCCAGAUCAAGCGUGCCGAGGGUGAAGCAGAGGCCAAGUACCUGUCUGGCCUCGGUAUCGCCCGCCAGCGCCAGGCCAUUGUGGAUGGCCUGAGGGACAGCGUCCUGGGCUUCUCAGUCAACGUGCCUGGCACCACUGCAAAGGAUGUGAUGGACAUGGUGCUGAUCACCCAGUACUUUGAUACUAUGAAAGAGAUCGGCGCAUCCUCCAAGUCCUCGGCGGUGUUCAUCCCCCAUGGCCCUGGUGCGGUGCGCGACAUCGCCACGCAGAUCCGCGAUGGUCUUCUUCAAGGCCAGUCUGCCUCUGACAACUAGCAGUUGGCUUUGCCGGCAUGAACUUUGAAGCUGGUGGUGGUUUGUGGUUUGCUAGCUAUUGCUUAGAGUACUGUCUAAUAUGAUGCAUGCCGUAUUAUUAUGAACUUAUAUGGAACCAUAUGUGGAUCGUGGCGUGCCAUGCCUUAGGUUGAUGUGCGGUAACAAAACCUUUAACCUUGUGGGAAUGCAGGAUGAUAUAAGUGUGUUAUGAAAUGUUGGUGAUGAAGUUGAUCUAAUGCUUUU